UCCACCGUGAGGUGGAAUCUGAAGGAAGCCGGCGGCAAAUCUCCGGUCUGAGGAACACGAACUUCAUAUAAGGCUAGCGUUUGUUGGACGAGGUUGCAAAACAAACCAAAAUUCGUACUGCCAAAGGCAAGCGAGAGUAAAUGAAGCAGAUAGAUGGAGAGGAAGAUAGCGCU
Molecule: non-coding RNA, 173 nt
Filed under: Paenibacillus cellulosilyticus
Lineage: Bacteria; Bacillati; Bacillota; Bacilli; Caryophanales; Paenibacillaceae
Source: RNAcentral